CAGUAGCCGCGGUAAUACGUAGGGUGCGAGCGUUAAUCGGAAUUACUGGGCGUAAAGCGUGCGCAGGCGGUUGUGUAAGACAGGUGUGAAAUCCCCGGACUUAACCUGGGAACUGCAUUUGUGACUGUAUAGCUAGAGUACGGUAGAGGGGGAUGGAAUUCCGCGUGUAGCAGUGAAAUGCGUAGAUAUGCGGAGGAACACCGAUGGCGAAGGCAAUCCCCUGGACCUGUGCUGACGCUCAUGCACGAAAGCGUGGGGAGCAAACAGGAUUAGAUACCCGUGUAGUCCCUGUCUCUUAUAC
Molecule: ribosomal RNA, 301 nt
Filed under: uncultured bacterium
Lineage: Bacteria
Description: partial 16S ribosomal RNA
Rfam family: Bacterial small subunit ribosomal RNA
Source: RNAcentral